GUGGAGUAUGAGCUCGAGGACGGCGGCUCACUGUCGCCGGAGAAGGAGAAGCUCAUCCUCGACGGCUACUUCGGCAUGCUCAAGAUGAUCGAGGACUACCUCGUCGCUCACCCUACCGAGUAUGCUUAAAAAUUGUCAUAAACCAAAAUAAUAUACAUCCAUCUCCGUAUUGCUGCUUCCUGAUAAUUAAAUAAUGUGAGCCACGACAAAUCCAAUCUUUUGUGGUGUUUGAUUUUGUGAGAGUGAUUUGUGUUUGAGGUUAUGUAAGAAAUAAAUCAUAAUUGUGAUCGUGUUCUAUAUGUGUGCAAAUGAACAUGUUUGCUGCUGGGAGAUCACUACAAAGGCUAAUGCAAGAACAUGCAUGUGGGUGGAUUCCAACCACUGGGUUAUGUUUAGGGUUCUGGUGCGGGGCAGGUCGGAAGAGGGCCUUGGGAAAGGCAAGUGUGGGGAUUCAAUGGGGAUGGUCAUGGGAGUGGCUGAUCGGCAGUGGGUAGCUAGGAAAGGCCACCAACCAGUUAGGUUGGGAGGCGUAGAACUGUAGAGGACGGUGGUAGUGAUGGGGUAGUGCGGGAAAGCGACGGUGGCACUAUCGGCCCUAGAGGUGGGGAAGAGGGUGGGGACGAACCAGCAAAGAAUUGGUCACCAGGAUGAGUUUGCCGAAUGAAAGGCCAUCAUGUAGCUGGUUCGCCACGUGGAGGAGGUGCUCUGUCCCAUUGGGGAACAAAGAGAUGAGAAGCUGAAGUGAUGUGUUGGGACAGGACACACUUCUCUAAAUCUGUGUAGUAUACCAAGGGGGAGGUGCAUCAUGGACUACUUGUGGACAAGUGUUUCCAAAGAUGACUGCCUUAAGCUGAUUGCCUAUGAAAAUACCCUUAUUUUUAUAGGCAGUCGAUUUAGAAGAUCACUUGUAAUAUAAGUUGGUUACAAACUCAGAGGAACAAUAAUAUUAAGACAUCACCCUUUUUCAUGUGGCUUACAAGAAGUAUACUUUCUCAGGGCUGACAAUACUUAUCGUUUUGGACAAUAACAUGGUCUACAAAAAAUAACUUUAACUAGUAUUUUUUAUUACAAUAUAUAUAGAAAUAUCAAUAAAUAUAUAAUUUUAUUGGAGCACUUUUUAAGAUAAUCUAUAUAUGUGAUCACCAUAUUUCUAAGAUAAAUACUUUAGAUGUUAGAUUUAUAGUUAAAGUUUUUAAAGUUUGACAAUAACCUUAUCAAAACGAUAAAAUUAUCAGCCUGAAGGGAGUAUAACGGGAUAAAAGACCAAGAGUCGUAAACUAAAAUGAAUAUAUUACGUGCUUAACUAAACUUAAUUUGGAUCACAUAUUUAACAUCUCCCACAAAACUACAACGUUUGGACCGAUCUUGGCUUUAAACGUUGGCAUACUGUAGAUCGGCUUAAAACGCACAGCCCAACCUGCCUGCCUGGUCCAAGUCAACGUCUAUUGAUUUUUUUUUUCUGAUUACAAUAAAAACGCAUGCUCAUACAUGCUACCAUGAUAUGGAUCCUUUGCAAUAUUACUGGUGCAGUAGUAGUCAAUGACACGUGGGAGGCUCACACAUCAGUGAUUGCUACUCCCUGUUGUACAUUCCAACAUCUGUUAGUAUUCCAACAUCUGUUAGUGUAUCCAAUUUAACUUGUAGGACGGAUCUAACAUGAAAGAGAUAGGCUCUCGGGCCUACUGGGACGACGACUAUGGAAACCCCCACGAAGCUUUCACUAAAUUUUUUUUUGUUAUAAGUAGAUGGGAAGAAGGCUUUAAUUUCAUUAGUUUCUUCAGACUCUUAUAUUAUUUCUUCCUAGAUCCGUGGAAUAACGAUAAUUCCAUAUACCUCAUUAAAUUUCUGCUACAAGCGUACUCACAUGUGUAAUUAUGAGUACUAAGAUUGCUCCAUCACCGCAUUAAUUAGUGCUACUGCUUAUUUCAUAUUUGCAUCAUUUCUAACUAAAUAAUUUCAACCUUACACGGGCGGAAGGUAAAAUUUUCAUCUUGUUGCUUUUGUAUGCUUUAGAAUUCUAUUUGCCUUCCUUUAUAUAUAUGACUAGGAGUAGUUUAUAACUUUAUAUCGCAGGAAGCUGAAGUGUGGUCACCGCUAAUAUUCAUAUUUCUCAUAAGAAUUAAAUUACCUCAACUAAUCUCUAUUUUGAAAUCAUCUCACUCGAAACAUCUAGUGCUAGCUCUUACCAGUCUAUGAUUAAUUAUAGAAUAGGAAAAACACCACUAUCAUUAUUUAUUUAGAAAGGUCACUGUAUAUGUGAUUGGUGUGGAAAUGAAUUCAACCACAAAUUAAACAAAAAUAAUUUCAUGACAAUGAGGAUGAUUUCAUUAACAGUACUGUCACGUAUAUUAGUUCUAUUUUUCCCUCCUCUCCGAAAUCAGCAUAGUAAUUCUCAAUUAAUUUUAGCAUAUGGAUGAUUAAUUUAAGUAGUAGGUUGCACUUGCUCCUUUCAAAUUAUUUACCGUUCUAGCUUUUGCCUUAAGUCACACACUUUUAUCUUUGAUCAUUAAUUUUUAAAAAUCCAUGUAGUCGUUUAACAAUACAUAAUUAUAUGAAAUUUUCUUUUGUGUGAACCUUGUAAUAAUUGGUUGUAGCUCUUAAGCAAAGGCCAGGAUGUUGCAUUCCAUUAUCUUAAAAAAAACAUAAUUAUAUGAAGGUAUUUUCCAUGGUGAAUCUUAAAAAUAUAAAUCUUAUGAUGUUAAAUUAUAUAAAUUUCUAUAAAUUAAUGAUUAAAGAUAUACAUAUUUAAUUUAGGACAAAGAAGCAUAUAAUGUUAUGUAAUUUAAAACGUGUGAGUAUAUUACAAUAAACCCAUUAACCCAAGUCGCCUAGUACAAACCAAUUAAUACGUUUACACCUCCUGUUUAGCAUUUCGUCGUUGCCAAUUUCCUGCAGCAAGAGCAUAUGAUUCCAUACAGAUUCUCCUACUAAAAACGUCACACCAUUUUAAGAAAACGUCACUAGCUGAUGAUGUGCAAACGAAUUAAAUUAAGUCAGAAUAUACGGAUAAUCCCACAAGUCAAGACAUGUGAUUCAGUGUACACCCAAGUCUUCACAAAUUUCCACAUCAGACAGGUUCAGAAAGUGCAACAAACAAUUAUUUUGCCUCAACUGAACUCUGAUGGACUGAUGAGCAGUUGCAUUGCUAACUGUAACGAAUGAUAUAGGGUGUGUUUAGUUCUUUGGUCGUAAAGUUUUUGAAGUAUACGGACACACAUUUGAAGUAUUAAAUAUAGACUAAUAACAAAAUAAAUUAUAAAUUCCGCCUGUAAACACCGAGACGAAUUUAUUAAGCCUAAUUAAUCUGUCAUUAGCAAAUGUUUACUGCAGCAUCACAUUGUCAAAUCAUGGCAUAAUUAGGCUCAAAAGAUUUGUCUCGCAAUUUACAUACAAACUGUGCAAUUGAUUUUUUUCCCUAUAUUUAGUACCCUAUGCAUGUGUCCAAACAUUUGAUGUGACGUUUUUGGCUAAAAUUUUUUGAGAUCUAAACAAGGCCAUAGAUUCAGAUUAGGAAUGAUCCCUUCUUCUUUCGCAGCCUAUAAGUACCUGCAUCUCACCUCUGAAUCACUCGCAGCAACAACUGUACAAACAGCUGGCUAGCGAGCUACCAUCAGUGACCAGUAGUGUGCAUUGUUAGCGGUAGGAAGUGUUACGGGUCGAUCGUCACUGAUGGCUCCGGUCUGCAUCUCCGACGAGCGUUCAGUUGCAGUUUCGGCGGAGCGGUUUUGGAAGGUCUUCUCGAACCCGCCCGCCAUGCCCAAGGUCUGCGCUGGUUUCUUCGACGCUGCUGAGGUUGAGGGGGAUGGUGGGCCGGGCACCGUUGUCAUUCUGAAGUUUAACCCUGGUAUGCAGACCUAAAAUAUUGGCUCUUCUAUUAUUCGUGCAUCUGUAAUAGGUACACGCAGCCUAGAUAGAGACUAGGGUGUAUUGUUAAUACCUUGCAAAUGUUUUCGCAAUAUGAUUUCGAGGGUUUAAAUUAUAGCGUUAUUUAUGCAUAUAUGGGCACACUUUCAGUAGUAAUUUAGUGAGGUUCACGGAUUUAUCAUUGGUGUGUUUGUGUGGUGGUAUGUGUGCGUAUGUUUUGUAUUUCAUAUCAUUGGCAAAAAAUUAUAUACAAGCGGCAUUUUACAAUGUCUUCUACUGGCGGUAGAAUCAAUCUAGACUAUUUAUUUUUCUAUUCCAAUGAGUUAUAUCUAUUUAUACCACCAUAUCAAUUAUCGGUAGUACGAUAAUUUCUCCGCUAACGGUAGAACUUAUAAAUUAACGCUUAAUUAAUAUCAUUUAUACCGGUGAUAAUACCGUUAGUAUAAUACUAUAGUAGAAACCAGUGUAAAUGUACUAAUUACAUGAUAGUAACAAAUAUUACAAUUAUUUGCAGCUGUUAAGCAAGGGUUAUACAAGACACGUGUGGUGGCACGUGACAACGCUUCUCAUUUUCUCAAGUCAGAGGUGCUGGAGGUGGCGCUUGGCAGGGCAGGCAAGCUCAAGACACACUUGACGGAGACGAAGCUUGAGGCCACCGGUGCCGGCUCCUGUAUGGCCAAGCUCAGGGUGGAGUGCGAGCCUGAAGACGGUGGCUCGUUGUCGCCGGAGAAGCAGAAGAUAAUCCUCGAGGGCUACUUCGGCAUGCUCAAGAUGAUUGAGAACUACCUUGUGGCUCACCCUGCCGAGUACGCCUAAAAAUAAGUGUUACAAACCAACAUAAUGCAUUCAUCGCGUGCAUGAUAAUUAAAUAACGUUCGUGAGCCACAACAAAUCCAAUUUCUUGUGGUGUUUGAUUUCAUGUGGGUGGUUGUGUGUGAAAGAUAACUUGUGUUAUUUCAGUAGUUGUCAUAGUGUUGUCUGUGUGUGUGUGUGUGUGUGUGAUAUUUUCAGUGUUGGUGAGAUCAUUUUGUUUCAUAAGUGAAUAAAGGAAUACACAGGUGAAUGCGGUGUGUUUGGUGGAGCAUUUAACUAUUUGUCACUUUUACAUUUGGCAUUUAACUAUUUGCCACCGCUAUCUCAAUAACACGUGGGUCCACAUGUGUAUAUGACAUGUGGGUUCAGUGUCAAAUAGUUAAAUAUCUCGUGUUUGAUGGCUAUAGAUCAGUGUAAAUGUCACUAAGAAAUAUUUGUGCAGUCCCUUAUUUUGCUACGGAUGUCUCACUACCACAAUGCAAUAAGGCUAAAUGGACAAAAUUGGGUAAAAUUAGGAUAGUAUAUAGAGAAAAAAUAUUACAUGGCCAUGAGUUUUUUUCUCAAUCCAUUAGCACUCAGUUUUUGUUUUGAUUUCCUAUGUACUAUUCUGUUAAUUGAGCAUAAGUUGACCGUUAGAUUUUUAAAAUGACUAAAUUGACCCUAUCUUAUACUUGUGUGCAACCUAUGCGAAGAACAUAAAUCUCAGUGUGAUUUCUUUCUUCACAAUAAAAUCAAAUGCAGUAGAACUAUUUGAUGCCAAAUUUGAAAGAAAAAGAAAAUAAACUUUCAACCAAAUUGAAAAGAAUUUGAUUAAAUACUUACAUUUUAUUUGGGUUUAAAUUUUGGUGAAAAUGUUGUCCGAGUUUCAUCAAAUUUGAUUUGAGUUUUUUUUAAAAAAAAUUCAGUUCUGAAUUUGUGGUAAAAUAAUUCUACCCUAUUUAAUUAUUUUACAAAUGAGUAUUUUUUUCACAUUAAUUAAGAAUUGUUUUUUCCCAAUAAGCUAGCAUAUAGGUACGAGAUAGAGGUAAUAUAGCCAAUUUGAAGAAAAAUUACCAGUCAACUCACGAAAUGGUACAUAGUAGAUCAAAAUAAAAACUCAAGGACUUAAUAGCAAAAUUCAAGAAAGUAGAAGCAAUUGAGGAACAAUUGGGCACAAGGAAUUUACUCCCUUUGGUAACUGCUAGUACUGCUGAUGAAAAGGGAAGCUGAAGCCGACACAAUUAAUACACAGUUACCCCCUCCGUUUGAAGAAAAACCAAUCCUAGCUACGAAUUUGGACAGGUUUGUCUUUUUUUUUUGGACGGAGUAGUACAUAUAAUCACGACAUGUGUUGAAUUUUCGAUUCCGAUGCAACGAGAGUAGCUCAGAUACUUAGCUUAGGUCAUCCCCAACCCAAAAACUAUCAAAUAGUUUCCAUACUUGCCAUGUCAUAUAGACACUAUAUAUAGAAACUAUAUAUCCAAUGGAUGGUGUCUUCAAAUUAAAUUAUCAUCCAAACACCCCUCUUUUUUCUCCUUUUAUCCACCUAUCCCCUUUUUUUGUUCUUGGUUCUUUGUUUCUUGCAUGCGAAAUGGUUUCUUCAUUAACUCUCUUGCCACAUUAGAUUUUUGCUUAUGUGGCAAUGCAUUAAAUGCUACGGACACUAGAUUAUAUGGAUGGUUGGGGAUGGCCUUAUAAGAACCAAUUAAUCACACAUCUGAUCUGUGGAAAGUAUAUAUUGUUGUUAGAAAAGCCUCGUCCUCAAGAUGAUCAUGGUGUGGAAAGUAUUAUUGGCACUUCUUUUUUCCUCAUCAUCUAUCUGGACAAAUUUUUUGUAUAGAUCCUUGAUUAUUCUGUUGUUUUUUAUGAAAAAUAUGAUGGUAUAAAUACACACGGUCCUCAAAAAUAUACUUGCACCUAUCUAUAGCUAUUCUAAUUAUGAAAAUAAGAUUAAAAUACUUCAUUUAUUCUUUUGAGCAUUGUAUUGUGAAAGGGAAAUCAUCUUAUUUGUCUCUCGCCUACUUUUGCACUGCUGCACAAUGCAUAAGGUAAAUUUGGACAAUAUAUAAAGUGCAACUUCAGCGUAAAUCAAAUGUGACUUUUAGUUUACAGCAGCCUAGAUGCAUUCCUAUAAGCUUAUCUAAUCAUAAUUUUCUGUUUCAUAUUAAAAAUGAUCCAUAAGAAAGUAUAUAUAGUUAGUUUAUUCAACCUUAAGAUGUACAUUUUUUUGUUUUACCUAAUGAAAAAGAAAGAACAUUGAUGUGAACAAACUAAGAAUAUAUACAGCAUUAGAUCUAUAGAGAAAAAAUGACUGAAAAUUGAUGAAAAAACAAUUAACUGAUAAAGGGACCCUCCCAUUGGAUUAUGUUGAUUGAAAUUAAUUACAAUCAUAAAAUGCAAAUGCAAAUUGAUCCUGGUAUAGAUUUUUCUACCAACAUUAUAUAAUAAUUAUAAAUGAUACAAUUAUAUGCAGCCGUGAAUGUAGGGAGCUCAUACAAGACCAAAUUGGUGGCAUGUGACAAGGCGACACACAAAUUGGUGCUUGAGGCUGAGAGCAAGGUAGCAAAGCUCAAGUCGCACUUGAAGGAGCGGUGAUUGCUCAUCCUGCGUGGUCAAGCUUAAGGUGGAGUACGAGCUCGAAGAUGGCGGCUCACUACUGCCAGAGUGGGAGGAGAUGAUCGUUGAUAGUUAUUUUGGCGUGCUCCAGAUCGAUGGUCGAGGCGUACCUCAUCGCUCAUCCUGCAGAAUAUGCCUGAAAAAAAAAUGUCACGAUCCUUCCAUGGUGUUACUACUGCGGGUAUAAUUAAAUGGUAAUUUUAUCAUCCUUAAAAAAAUACCGAGAGAUACCACAUAUUAUUGUGUAAAUUUAAUACCUUAAUUUUGUGCUAUGUAUGGUAUUUAAAUGUACCGUAAAAUUUCUCCUAAUUAAAAUAAUGUCUGCCAACAAGCUCACUAGGAACAUAAUUCUUGUGAUGCUUGAGAGUUAUUAUUCUGUGUUUCAAGUUGUGUAACACUUUGAGUAAUUCUGAUUGGGUUAGUUGUAUGUGCACAUGUAUAUAUGCUCAGUGUUGGUGAGAUCUCAUUUUGCUUGAUGAGUGAAGAAUUAAAAAUACACAUAGGAAUGUGGUAUGUUUUUGUUCAAUUUUGAAAUAUUUACUUCCUUGCUAAUUUAAUUAAAUGAAACUCCUGUCCGUUUGUUUCAAAAAAAAAAGAUCGGAAUUCAUUCCAGGUGUUUCUUCUCCACUUUCUUGCCAAGCACUGUUUUAUGAUUGAUAGAUAAUUAAAAUGUAUACACAAUAUUAUUCUUUAAGAUUAUAGUUUUAUAACUUCACAAUUAGCUUCCACAAUUAGUAAAAAUGGCAUAACUGUGAUGCACCCAAUAAUUAGAGGGGAAAAUACAAUAUAUAUAAAGAAAAGAAUAGAAGAGCUUUAGAAUUAGUGGGUUUUGGGUGCUUUGGUUGCCUGAUCAUUUGUAAUACCCGUUCGCAUUUUUUGCUUGAAGGGAGGACAAAUGCGUAAGGGAGUAUUACAGUUUAGGUGUGAUUCAACGGAUUAAGUUAGGACUUAAACCAUUUUCGAGCCAAUUUAUUGGCACCCGCUAAGCACCAAUUGUGCCCCUCUUUAGUCUAGUGGUCGCCAAGCCGCUGGAAAGUCCUUGAAUUAUGGUAUUUCCGCAGUUCUCAAGUCUCAGCUUGUCAAUAUGAUAAUAAUGGUAUGGAAUGAUUUCAAAAUUGAAUUCCUUCUAUAUGAAUUUCAGUUUUUUAGGUAAUAUAAGUGAAAACUCCUAAUAACUACAUCGAAUUAAGGAUGCACACAACCAUUGCUCUCACAUGAUCAGUUUAGAUCCCCAUCGUGUGGCUUAUUCAAAGAAUAAGCCAGACGACAUAUUUGCAAACGAAAAAUAAUUUAUGAGUAAAACUUUGAUAUACAUGUUCUUAGCGGUCUAAAAGCAAAGGCUAAAAAAUAAACUUCGAUGAAAAAAACUUCAAAAUCAACUCCAAAUUUAGCGUUAAAAAUUCAAAUUUUGGCUGAUAAGCAUAAGUAUAAGCGAAAAGAUGAGUUUGUUAAUUGCUUAAAAAGGAAAAGCAAAAAAAAUAUAAAAAAAUCGCACGACAAACAAAGUUGUUAUGCACAAAAGAUGACUUUAUGGUCCUCGAGGAGGCAUCCUAUUUUUUCUUAGAUAAAAUUUGGUAUACAUCAGUAUCAUGAGGUAUUAAACCUCGUACGUAAAAAAAAUCUUUCAGUACCUCUCAAUGAUUGUAAAAUUUCUCUUUCCGUAGAACACCCACCUACUAGAAAAACCCGACGAGCUAGCCGUGCAACGGCACUCAACAAUAAUUCAACCGAGGAACAACCGUGCUAGAUCCAUCCGAGUUGGCAAGGUAGAAAUUUGCACUGAGGCGAACACCAAAGGCGAUGUCGUACAGGACGUACGUACGGUCGUGACAGCCGGGUCUAGAUACUAAGAUCGAUCCCAGAAAGACCGGAAGAAUAGUUUCAUUCUUUAUAGAUAAUGGAUUAAAUAACCCGGCCUUUACAUCCAAGUGGAUGUAUACAACCACUGAAGAAUAGUUUCAUAACAUCCUGAAUGUCAGCACUUCUAGAUGUCUGAUGUCCUAGUCAAACCACGCGGUCUCCAGUUCUCCACAUUCCAACUACGAAAUUCCACAUCAGAUAAGCUCAGCAUUCAGCUUAGAAGCCAAUUUCCCUUUUUUUAUUUUUUAGGAAACAUGAUGCACCGGGUGUGAAUCGUGAUGCACUUCAAAAUAGUUCUGGCGAAUAGAGUCAGGAGUUUGUUCUUUGAUACAGCAGCAAUUAGAUGGCUCAGCAACUUAAAAAUCGAUUAACCAGAACUAUAGUUUGGUUUUGAUGAAAUACUUUACUGUACUUGACACCCCAGGAAGCAAGCACUCCAUAGUGUGAGCUUCAGGAGUUCAGAGUUUCAGAAGCUGAGCUAAUUGAUAGCUAGUAUUACUCUACUGACACUGGAAAAGCUGGAGCCGACACGAUUAAUACACAGUUAUAGAUAAUCACGACAUGCCUUGAAUCUCAAAAACCGACUAAUCACAUCUAACUUUUGUGCAAAGUAUGGUGUUGGAAAGUCCUUAGAGAUCUUACUGCAAGAAUUUCAUGGACAUAACCGAAAUCAUCUCAAAGACCCCUCCAACCUUAUCUGAGAGAGUCAGACAUUCUAGAUCACUGGUCAAACUCUGAACUGAUCGAUCAUCUGCAUAAAUAAAUUGAAACACUGAAUUUUCCACAGGUCAAACCAUGUGAUCUCCAUAGCCCCAAUUUCCUGAUACUAAAACCCUGAAUUCCACAUAUCAAACUAAACUACAAAUCAACCGGAGAAAAGCCGGAUGCGGUCCUCUUUCACCUAUAAGUAUCCCCAUUCUGCAGCUCACCUUUGAAGCAGAAGCAAAAGCAGCUGAGCUGAGCUAGCUAUAGCCAUCACAGCAAGUGUCAGGUGGAAACUAGCUUAGAUAGAGAUGGCUCCGGCCUUCGUCUCCGACGAGCGCGCCGUCGCGGUGUCGGUGGAGAGGCUGUGGAAGGUCUGCUUGGACGUGCACUCCCUGCCCAAGGUCUGCGCCGGAUUCAUCGACGCCGUCGAGGUCGAGGGGAAUGGCGGGCCGGGCACCAUCCACAUCAUGAAGCUUAACCCUGGUAGGUCCCGAAUACAUAUUGGCACUUUUUUCCGCUUCUUACACUUGCAUUUGUUAUUUUAAGGGGGUUUUUCGAAGAUAACUUUUACGGUAAGUAUACUGUUAGUAUAAACAAUCCAAAGAUGUAAAUUGAUUUUACUACCAACUUAAAUCGAUUGCAGUAUAAAAUUAAGGGGGGGGGGGUAAAAUGGUCUUUCUCUAUGCUAGAUAAUAUCUCCCACUUAAGUUAUCUAGCAUGGGUUAAUAGUUAUCUACUUCCUCCGUUUCAAAUUAUAAGAUGUUUUGACUUUCGUCAAAGUCAAAUUGCUUCAGUUUUAACUAAGUUUAUAGACAAAUAUAGUAAUAUUUACAUUACUAAAUUAGUUUAUUAAAUUAAUAAUUAAAUAUAUUUUUAUAAUAAAUUUAUCUUGGAUCAAAAAUAUUACUAAUUUUUUCUAUAAAAUUAGUCAAACUUGAAGCAGCUUGACUUUGACCAAAGUCAAAACAUCUUACAACCUGAAAUGGAGGGAGUAGCAUCUAUUCAACCUAUCUGGUCAGUAAUCCAAUCCGAUGCACGGACAAUUAGGAUUACUAUCAGAGUGAAGAUAUAACACAAAAUAACUAUGGGUCAUAAUAGUUGUAGUUUUAUAAAAUUUAUUAUGCUUUUAUAACUUUCUAAUAAAAAUAGGAUGACAUUACUAGUCAAUAAAAACAUACUUGUACCUAACCACUAUUGAGUAUGAAGAAUGAAAAAGAGUAAAAUAUAUAGCUAGUUUUUAAACUUGUCCAGAGAUGUUAUCAGGAUCUAUGAACUUGCAAAAGACGCAUUUGAGAUCAUAAUCUUGGUUUAAUGAACCACGUGAGUCCAAAGUGUAGCUGAUAGGGCAAAGCCCUGAACAUCCACCAUGGCAGAACAUUUUUAUCUAGCCCGCUCCACUACAGUAAAAUCGAUCAAUCAGUCGUGUGUGCCACAUUAAGAGAUGUGUAUAUGUCGAUGUCAAAUGACAAUUGCAAUUAAUAACUAUUACAAACCAUAUGCAGCCGCGGACGCAGGGAGCGUAUACAAGACCAAAAUAGUGGUGUGCGACAGCGCAACUCACGUGCUAAAGGUUGAGGUGUUGGAGGUUAAGAGCAGGGUGGGCAACCUCAAGUCGCACUCGACGGAGACGAAGCUCGAGGCCACCGGCGACGCCACCUGCGUGGCCAAGCUCACGGUGGAGUACGAGCUCGAAGACGGCGCCUCGCUGUCGCCGGAGCAGGAGAAGAUGAUCGUCGACGGCUACUUCAGCAUGCUCCAGAUGAUCGAGGCGUACCUCGUCGCUCACCCUGCUGAGUACGCCUAAAAAUAUUGUGGUCAUGUUACUGUGGCGUGGUCGCAUGUGAGAAGAAUUAUUCUGUGUUUAAGGUUAUGUAAUAAUUUCAGUAUUGUGUUUUUGCUUCACGAGUGAAUAAAAUACACAUAAGAAUGUGUUGUGUUUGAUGGUUAAUAUAUAUGGAAGAUUGUGGAUCAGUGUAAAAGUAGAUUAGAAAUAUAAUAAUAUUUGUGAGUUUAUUUGAUUACGGAGGUUAUCUGUACUUUUUAUAAAGUUAUAACACUAAGUCCAAAGCUCAACAUGCAUCCAUGCCACAUCAUCACCCACCAGCAAUUAUUACAUAUUUAACGUCAUGCAACCAUACAACAUCAUCUACAACUUUACAAAUCAACAUGCAAACAUAUCCAAUCAUCAUCCUUCACAUCAUUUGCAUAAUAUUUUAACAAAUCUAUCUAUCAUUUUUAUAAUAUUUGAUAUAUACUUAUCAAUAUAUUUCACAUUAAAAUAUGGGUAUCAUUUGUUUGUUUCAUGAUAAUUACUAAUAAACCUUGAUGUUUCAUUAUUUUUUCCUUUUUACUCCUUGUUUGAUUGUCGAAAAAAAUAUAUUCAAAAUUAGUUAGUAAUUUCCACAAUAAAGCACGGGGAAUCACCUAGUACUAAUAAUACCAUAUGCCAAUGCAUUUGGUUUGCAUGCUGUGCCUCUGAAAUUUUGUAAUCUGUUUGGUAAUAAAUAUGUAUUAUUUGAUUUUUUUUUUCAGUUUUUAGUUCUGAUUUUAACCAUAAAUUAUUAUUAGAAUAAGUUUAUGAGAUUAUGAAAGUAUAUAUUUUUAAGACAUGUCUACAUAUAUCAUUUUUACAUUUUUAAACUAAUUAUUUUAAAAUUUUAUUAAUGGUUAAAGAUUCAAAGUUUGUUUAGAAACUCAAAUGACAUGUAUUUAAUUUCGCCUUAAUGUAUUUAAGCUCUCUAAUUGUGAUACCAACCAGAUCUCAAACCGUGGUACUUAGAAAAAAAGGCCCCUCCCUUAUGAGACAAAAUUGGUUAACACCUGUUAAGACACGGCCUAUGAUAACAUGCGUGGUCCCCGAAUAGUACACAAAGAAAUGCAUACACAUGUACAGAUCGAUAAUUAAUCACCCCGUGCAUUCAAUCUUAUUGGUUCAUUGACAUAAGCAGCAAGUAGCUGUGCUAGAUCAGCUAAUUAAAAAUCAAUUACACGCAACUCCACCCUCCUACCUCCUUUUGUCAUUUGUUAUUUAUGUUUGAAGCCGUUAACUUGUUAAUAUAUUUUAAUUAUUCGUCCUAUUUAAAAAAUAAAUGUUAUGUAAAUAUCAAAAUAUAAGCAAUGUAAACCAAAUUACACAACAAAAUAAAUAGUAAUUUUAUAACUUUUUUUAAAAAAGAUGAAUGGUCAGACAUAUAUUGAAAAGUCAACCACGUCAAAAGAAAAUGGAGGGAGUAGUUUGGUUGGUGAGCAAGAAGUCCAUCAUGUGAACUUGAGCGUUAGCGAUUGGCACAAUAUCACACACCUCAAUGCACAGCAAACACAAUAAAUCGAGAAGAACUUCUCGAUGCUGCAACAAGAACAACGCAGAUAAAAAAACAUGUGAAUUUUAAAAGGAGUAUACUUUUAAAAGCGUGACAAAUAAUUUGUUCAAACAAGAACAGCGAAUACCAAGAACGACGUCAUACAAGACUGACGUGCGGUCGUGUAUUUUGUUCAUCCUAUAAUAAACUGUGUCUAUAUUUAUAAUACUAUAAUAUAUCGUAUUCAGUACGAUUAAUUUAUUCUGGACGGAGGGAGGGAGUAGUCCCCAUCUCAAAACCCUUGUACUGUACCUAUCAUGAAUUUCAGCACUUCUAGAUGGCCUAGUCAGCUCUGGGCUGAAUCCUUAUCGAUCAGCUACAGAACAAACAACAAACCCCUGAAUUUUCCACAGGUCAAGCCAUGUGAUGUGAUCUCCAUAGUCCAACUUCAUGGCCAACCCACAAUUCUGAAUUCCACAUGAUCAGACAAAGUUCAGCUAUCAAUUCUAGAAGCCGAUUUCUUGGAAUGAUGGCGUUCCAAGCUAAUUUCCAGCUGCAUGCUGAUGAAACCCUUCUCUUGCUACCUAUAGGUAUAUAUACACCAUGCUACUGCUCACCAUUGAAGCAACAAGCCUAGCUUACAUAUAUAGCCAUCAGUGGUCAGUGGUGUGAUCAGUUGGAAUCUAGCUAGCUAGAAGGUAUAGAGAUAUUAGUGAUGGCCCCGGCCUUUCUCUCCGACGAGCUCGCCGUCACGGUGUUGGCGGAGAGGCUGUAGAAGGUGUUCAUGGACGCGUCCGCCAUGCCCAAGGUCUGUGCCGGCUUCGUCGACGACAUUGUGGUUGAGGGGAAUGGCGGUCCAGGCACCAUCUACACCAUGAAGCUUAACCCCGGUCGGUUUCGAACAAUAGCAUUGGCACAUUUUCACUUCGUACACCUGUAAUUUUGGAAAAGAAAUUUUGGGAGGUGGGGGUGAGGAGCUUAAUUUUCAUCCUUUAGGCUAAGCUCGGGAGUGAGGGUUGGGAACCUUCACUUUCAGCAUGCAAAAUGAAGCGGCAGUUAGCGCAUGACUAAUUAAGUUUUAGCUAAAAUAAGCAUUGAAAUAGAUUAAUAUGAUUUUCUAAAACAACUUUCAUAUAGAUAUUUUUUUGUAAAAACAAAAUUUAGAAGUUUGAUAAGCAUACCUGCGAAAAACGAGGUAGAAGUUUGGAAGGAAAGUUUAGAACACAGCCUAGUUUUUUUUUUUUUUUGGAUCUUUCUACUAACCUAGCCUCAUCUGUCACUCGGUAUCUUGAGAUAAGUUGAGAUCUUAACUAAGAUAGUGUUUGGGAAGAAGUGACUAAAGUUUAGUCUCUCACACAAAAAUUUUAAUCCCUCCUAUAGGGACUUAUGUUCUUGUGAGAGGGACUAAAGUUUAGUCCCUCCUUCCCAAACACCACCUAAUUAAGAGGGUUAAAAUUACAGCUGUGCAAGGCGAAUUGAUUGGGUAUGUAUAACAGAAAAUACUCCCUCCGUUUCAAAAUGUUUGACACCGCUGAUUUUUUCGUAUGUGUUUGAUCAUUUGUCUUAUUCAAAAAAUUUAAGUAAUUAUUUAUUAUUUUCGUAUCAUUUGACUCAUUGUUAAAUAUACUUUCAUGUGCACAUAUAGUUUUACAUAUUUCACAAUUUUUUUUUGAAUAAGACGAACGGUCAAACAUGUGCUAAAAAGUCAAAGGUGUCAAAUAUUUUGAAACGGAGGGAGUAUUCCUAUUAUAUGCAGAUGCGGGAGUCGGGAAUACAUACAAGACCCGAGUGGCGGUGUGUGACAAUGCAGCACGCGUGCUAAAGUCAGAGGUGCUGGAGGCAGAAAGCAAGGUGGGCAAGCUCAAGUCGCACUCGACGGAGACGAAGCUGGAGGGCACCGGCGAUGGCUCCUGCGUGGCCAAGCUCAAGGUGGAGUACGAGCUCGCCGACGGCAGCUCGCUGUCGCCGGAGCAGGAGAAGACGAUGGUCGACGGCUACUUCGGCAUGCUCAAGAUGAUGGAGGCGUACCUCGCCGCUCACCCUGCCGAAUUCGCCUGAAAACUGUCUCAACCAACACAAUCCAUGGCUGAUAAUUAAAUAAUGCGAGCUCCAAUUUUCUCGUGGCGUUUGAUUUUUUUGAGAGCAGUUAAUAAUUUGUGAUAUUGUGUUGUAUGUGCCUAGCUAGCUAUGUAUGCCGUACGUACGAGCAUGUACUUUUACUUCGAUAAUGAAUAAAGAGACAAACAUCUGAACAUGUGUUGUGGUUGAAUUUGGAGGCUAAAAUAUUAUUGCAACAUCAAUGCAACUAUCGGUACAUAUCUUAUUGACAUCAUGCCUAUAUGACAAAAGACGACCAAUAGCAUAUUAGGUAAGAUUACAAUGACAGCUAGAAGAUUCCCCGCGCGUGCACGUUGCCACGGUGAUUUUGGUGGUAAAAGAAGUAUGACAUGAAAUGUAUAUAUAAUGUACGUUGAAAACGUUGAGAGCCAAAACACCAUGUGGAUUGUUAUGGAUGGAAUUAACAUGCAGAAUGUAGAGGUAAGAUCCAUCUGCGACCAAAUUUCACAAGUUUACACGGCAGGAACUUAUAUAUGAUGUACAUAGAACUAACAAAAAUAAGUAUAUAAAAGAGAACUUUAUGCAAGAUGCUAGUGGUAACUCCACCCAACUGAAUUGAAGUAAGGAUGCACACACAGCUAUUGCUCUAUCAUGCUCAACUAAAAAGUGAAAGAUAGAAAGUAAAGAUGUACUCCGUUUCAAUUUCGAUUUGCUUGUCGUUCUAACAAAUCUCAUACUAAACUAGAUGCAUGGUAUAACAAGGCAAAAUUUGCUAUAGAACAUCUAAAAAAUAUGAAAUUAGUUAGGAGACACCGCAAGAAUGCGUUUUUGCUGUAGGACACAAAAAAAAAAUAGUAAUUAGCUGUUGGACACCCGCGAGAUUAUUUUAUUAUAUCCGAAAGAAUUGGAGAGAGAAAUAGUUGUGUAAGUACGGUUCUACCCUUUGAUUCUUUUUCUUUUCUUCUUUCUUCCUUAUUCUUUUCUCCCUCUCACAUUAUCUCUUUCCCUCUCUGCUCUCAACCACCGCCACGUUCUCUCCUUCCGCUCCUCCCGGGAGGACGAGGUCGGGCGCCUCAUCCGCUCCAUCUUCACCGAGAGCGGCGGCGGCACCGCCGCCUUCAACCUCGCCCGCCGCCGCCGCCUCGCCCGUCGUCGCGGCGCUCGCCCGCCGCCGUCGCCAUUUCUGAUCCGUUCUUGUUUCAGAGCUUGCACCCGGCGGCGAAGUACCACGACGCUGCGAUGGCGAUCGGCGGGUGUCCGAUCUACGUCAGCGACAAGCCGGGGAACCACAACUUAGAACUGCUUAGGAAGCUCGUACUACCCAGCGGCUCCGGGCUUCGGGUGCGCCUCCCCGGCCGCCCCACCCGCGAAUGCCUCUUCUCCGACCAGGCGCGCGACGGCGCGAGGUAACAAAAAAGAUUUCAAAAUUAUAGUAAAUUUGUGCGAAAUGGAUUCUAAUUUCAUGAGAAUUUGGGUUAAUUUUGAUGAAAUUUUGCACCUUGCUCAAGAUAUGGAAUCUGAACAAGUGCGGCGGCAUUGUCGGGGUGUUUAAUUGCCAGGGCGCCGGGUGGUGCAGGGUGGCCAAGAAGACGCAUGUGCACGAUGCGGCGCCCGGAACGCUCACCGGCGCCGUGCGCGCUGACGACGUCGACGCCAUUGCGCAGGUCGCCGAUGAUGGCGACGGCGACGACGGCUGGGAUGGGGAGGCCGUGGCGUACAUGCAACGGGCGCGUGAGCUGGUCCGGCUGCCGUGCGACGCCGUACUGCCGGUGACGCUCGGGGCGCUCGAUUACGAGGUGUUCCACGUCUGCCCCGUCCGCGCUAUCGCAAUGGCGCCGGGAGGCACCGUCGUUGCGUUCGCGCCCGUCGGGCUCCUUGACACCGUCGACGCCACCGCCGCCGCCGUGGCGCUCAGGGUGCAUGGUUGCGACCAUUUUGGCGCCUACUUCUCGCGGAGGCCGGCGAGGUGCACGCUCGAUGGCGCCGACGUGGGGUUCACCUACGACGGCGACACGAGGACAUGCUCACAGAGGGACCCGCGUCGGAUUAAUUUGAGCCAAGGGAAAACUGGUCUUUAAUGAUUAUUUCUCUCUCCUAUUCCUCCAAAAAUAAUAAAAUAAUCUCACCGGUGUCCAGCAGCUAAUUAACAGUUUUUUGUGAUGCCCUACAGCAAAUACACGUUCUUACGACAUCCCCUAGUUAAUUACACGUUUUUCGGACGUCCUGUAGCAAAUUUUGCCGUAUAACAAUUACAUUACUAUCCUCAUCUUUCCAAACCAAGGGUAGGAAGUAGAGAACUUCUCUAAAAGUGUUUUGGAAUGUAAGAACAUAUUUUGACACAAGUUUUGAAUGCUGGAAUGAUAAGCAAUUUGAAACGGAGAGAUUUAUCAAAGUUAGGACGUACGUGCUCUGGUACUAGCCGUACGAUGACGCCCAAUAAUUCAACCGAAGAACAACCACACCUAUCGAUCCGAGGUGGCAAGGUGGAAAUUUUGCGUUAAAGCUCAAUUUGUCCCUGGUGACCGUGACAUCAGAUUGAGUAUCACUGAGUCUACCAAUUGAAGGUUGUAUAUAUCCGAGGUGGCACAGUGAAAAUUGAUACGCUAUGAAACCCAACAAGAUUGAAAGAAAUUCAUAAUUGAAUUAAUACCUACCGAUAAAGGGUAUUUGUUUAGACCCAUCUCAGAGCAUGACAUGUAGUCGUACCUAUCAUCUAAAAGCAUUUAAAUUAGGGUCUGUUCGAUUUAGAUUAUUAAACAAAUUAUUAUCGUUGAUUACCUACCAAUUGAUUAUGGAAAUAAAUUAAAUACUUUAAAAUUAAACUUAAUAAAUAGUUUAAAACAAGUGAUCAAAGCAGUAGAAUAAAGUUUGUUGAGAGAUUUUUUGAAACAUAGAACAAAUAAUCAGUUCCAAUAAUCCGGCGAAUAAUCUGAGAAUCAGUGUUCUAACUGUAAACAAAGACCAUGAUCUCAUAUAUGAUUAUUCUCCCAACCGUCCUAUAUAUGCCCAGGUCUCAAAUGUCAGCUCUUCUAGAUGGAACCAAAGAAAAAAACCCUUAAUUUCCACAGGUCAAGCCACAUGUGAUCCCCAAUAUUCCUACUUCCAGAACCCUAGAAUUCCACACAAAGUUCAGCAUAUGCAACCAAUGGAGCUGAGUUCCCAACUGCAACAUUUAUUCUGGAUGAUGUCUUCUUCUCCUCUUGCCACCCUAUAAAUAGCCCAUGCUACUGCUCACCUUUGAAGCACAAGCACAAGCACAAGCAGCUCUAGCUAGCUACAGGCAUCAGUGGUCAGUAGAGUGAUCAGUUGCAACUAGCUAGCUAGUUAGAUUAUAUCUUCAGUGAUGGCUCCGGCCUGCGUCUCCGACGAGCACGCCGUCGCGGUGUCGGCGGAGCGGCUGUGGAAGGCGUUCAUGGACGCGUCCACUUUGCCCAAGGCCUGCGCCGGCUUGGUCGACGACAUUGCGGUCGAGGGGAACGGUGGUCCGGGCACCAUCUACACCAUGAAGCUUAACCCUGGUAGGUCCAGAAAGAUCUAAGUACUUGUAUCUACUGAUUGUACUUAUUAUCUCGGCCGAUUUUUUUUCUUAAAUUUUUGUGAAUUUGGUCAAAAUUUAGUCAAAUUCAGUUAAAUUAUUUUCAAAUUUCUGAAAAAAAAAUCAGUCCAAAAAGUGCCGAAAAUCCCGAAAUUUUGGUUCUACCAAAAUGGCUUUCGGCGAAAUCGAAAGUGAAAAUCCUGUCAACAACAAAAAGAAUUUGAUUAAGACAGUUAAAAUUACUAUAGUGCAGUAUAAAAUUGAUUGGGUAUAUAAUAACAACAAAUGUUAAAAUUAUAUGCAGCCGCGGGUGUGGGAAGCACAUACAAGACCCGGGUGGCGGUGUGCGACGCCGCAAGUCAUGUCCUAAAGUCGGAUGUGCUCGAGGCAGAAAGCAAGGUGGGGAAGCUCAAGUCACACUCGACGGAGACGAAGCUUGAGGCCACCGGCGAUGGCUCCUGUGUGGCCAAGCUCAAGGUGGAGUACGAGCUCGAGGACGGCAGCUCACUGUCGCCGGAGAAGGAGAAGGACAUCGUGGAUGGCUACUAUGGCAUGCUCAAGAUGAUCGAGGACUACCUCGUCGCUCACCCUGCCGAAUACGCCUAAGAUGAAGAGGAAUACUGCCUCUAUCCAGUAUAUCCCACCUAGAGUGAGUGAUAAUUAAAUAAUGAGAGCC
Molecule: long non-coding RNA, 19405 nt
Filed under: Oryza sativa (Asian cultivated rice)
Lineage: Eukaryota; Viridiplantae; Streptophyta; Magnoliopsida; Poales; Poaceae
Description: long non-coding RNA (OSAT_LNC000205)
Source: RNAcentral